AGUACCAUCGAUCAUAUUUAAUUUUUUGAUCGGAUAUGGGCCGUUUGCGGUCGUUCUGGGCGCCAGCCUGAAAUUGAGAUUGGUUUUCGCUUUCGCCCCAUUUUCAAAGGCGUCAUAGUUGGCCUUUCAUGGUCAUCUUUCACCCGAGGGGAGGGAGAAUGAUGAAAAGCGAGGGCGGGAAGCCGCCCAAAAAAUUUCUUUUUCU
RNAcentral lists this unclassified non-coding RNA (205 nucleotides) under uncultured Ascomycota. RNAcentral describes it as "sequence contains ITS2". The record is from RNAcentral. Lineage: Eukaryota; Fungi; Ascomycota.